GGGUUGUGAGGUUAAGCGACUAAGCGUACACGGUGGAUGCCCUGGCAGUCAGAGGCGAUGAAGGACGUGCUAAUCUGCGAUAAGCGUCGGUAAGGUGAUAUGAACCGUUAUAACCGGCGAUUUCCGAAUGGGGAAACCCAGUGUGUUUCGACACACUAUCAUUAACUGAAUCCAUAGGUUAAUGAGGCGAACCGGGGGAACUGAAACAUCUAAGUACCCCGAGGAAAAGAAAUCAACCGAGAUUCCCCCAGUAGCGGCGAGCGAACGGGGAGCAGCCCAGAGCCUGAAUCAGUGUGUGUGUUAGUGGAAGCGUCUGGAAAGGCGCGCGAUACAGGGUGACAGCCCCGUACACAAAAAUGCACAUGCUGUGAGCUCGAUGAGUAGGGCGGGACACGUGGUAUCCUGUCUGAAUAUGGGGGGACCAUCCUCCAAGGCUAAAUACUCCUGACUGACCGAUAGUGAACCAGUACCGUGAGGGAAAGGCGAAAAGAACCCCGGCGAGGGGAGUGAAAAAGAACCUGAAACCGUGUACGUACAAGCAGUGGGAGCACGCUUCGGCGUGUGACUGCGUACCUUUUGUAUAAUGGGUCAGCGACUUAUAUUCUGUAGCAAGGUUAACCGAAUAGGGGAGCCGAAGGGAAACCGAGUCUUAACUGGGCGUUAAGUUGCAGGGUAUAGACCCGAAACCCGGUGAUCUAGCCAUGGGCAGGUUGAAGGUUGGGUAACACUAACUGGAGGACCGAACCGACUAAUGUUGAAAAAUUAGCGGAUGACUUGUGGCUGGGGGUGAAAGGCCAAUCAAACCGGGAGAUAGCUGGUUCUCCCCGAAAGCUAUUUAGGUAGCGCCUCGUGAAUUCAUCUCCGGGGGUAGAGCACUGUUUCGGCAAGGGGGUCAUCCCGACUUACCAACCCGAUGCAAACUGCGAAUACCGGAGAAUGUUAUCACGGGAGACACACGGCGGGUGCUAACGUCCGUCGUGAAGAGGGAAACAACCCAGACCGCCAGCUAAGGUCCCAAAGUCAUGGUUAAGUGGGAAACGAUGUGGGAAGGCCCAGACAGCCAGGAUGUUGGCUUAGAAGCAGCCAUCAUUUAAAGAAAGCGUAAUAGCUCACUGGUCGAGUCGGCCUGCGCGGAAGAUGUAACGGGGCUAAACCAUGCACCGAAGCUGCGGCAGCGACGCUUAUGCGUUGUUGGGUAGGGGAGCGUUCUGUAAGCCUGUGAAGGUGUGCUGUGAGGCAUGCUGGAGGUAUCAGAAGUGCGAAUGCUGACAUAAGUAACGAUAAAGCGGGUGAAAAGCCCGCUCGCCGGAAGACCAAGGGUUCCUGUCCAACGUUAAUCGGGGCAGGGUGAGUCGACCCCUAAGGCGAGGCCGAAAGGCGUAGUCGAUGGGAAACAGGUUAAUAUUCCUGUACUUGGUGUUACUGCGAAGGGGGGACGGAGAAGGCUAUGUUGGCCGGGCGACGGUUGUCCCGGUUUAAGCGUGUAGGCUGGUUUUCCAGGCAAAUCCGGAAAAUCAAGGCUGAGGCGUGAUGACGAGGCACUACGGUGCUGAAGCAACAAAUGCCCUGCUUCCAGGAAAAGCCUCUAAGCAUCAGGUAACAUCAAAUCGUACCCCAAACCGACACAGGUGGUCAGGUAGAGAAUACCAAGGCGCUUGAGAGAACUCGGGUGAAGGAACUAGGCAAAAUGGUGCCGUAACUUCGGGAGAAGGCACGCUGAUAUGUAGGUGAAGUCCCUCGCGGAUGGAGCUGAAAUCAGUCGAAGAUACCAGCUGGCUGCAACUGUUUAUUAAAAACACAGCACUGUGCAAACACGAAAGUGGACGUAUACGGUGUGACGCCUGCCCGGUGCCGGAAGGUUAAUUGAUGGGGUUAGCGCAAGCGAAGCUCUUGAUCGAAGCCCCGGUAAACGGCGGCCGUAACUAUAACGGUCCUAAGGUAGCGAAAUUCCUUGUCGGGUAAGUUCCGACCUGCACGAAUGGCGUAAUGAUGGCCAGGCUGUCUCCACCCGAGACUCAGUGAAAUUGAACUCGCUGUGAAGAUGCAGUGUACCCGCGGCAAGACGGAAAGACCCCGUGAACCUUUACUAUAGCUUGACACUGAACAUUGAGCCUUGAUGUGUAGGAUAGGUGGGAGGCUUAGAAGUGUGGACGCCAGUCUGCAUGGAGCCGACCUUGAAAUACCACCCUUUAAUGUUUGAUGUUCUAACGUUGACCCGUAAUCCGGGUUGCGGACAGUGUCUGGUGGGUAGUUUGACUGGGGCGGUCUCCUCCUAAAGAGUAACGGAGGAGCACGAAGGUUGGCUAAUCCUGGUCGGACAUCAGGAGGUUAGUGCAAUGGCAUAAGCCAGCUUGACUGCGAGCGUGACGGCGCGAGCAGGUGCGAAAGCAGGUCAUAGUGAUCCGGUGGUUCUGAAUGGAAGGGCCAUCGCUCAACGGAUAAAAGGUACUCCGGGGAUAACAGGCUGAUACCGCCCAAGAGUUCAUAUCGACGGCGGUGUUUGGCACCUCGAUGUCGGCUCAUCACAUCCUGGGGCUGAAGUAGGUCCCAAGGGUAUGGCUGUUCGCCAUUUAAAGUGGUACGCGAGCUGGGUUUAGAACGUCGUGAGACAGUUCGGUCCCUAUCUGCCGUGGGCGCUGGAGAACUGAGGGGGGCUGCUCCUAGUACGAGAGGACCGGAGUGGACGCAUCACUGGUGUUCGGGUUGUCAUGCCAAUGGCACUGCCCGGUAGCUAAAUGCGGAAGAGAUAAGUGCUGAAAGCAUCUAAGCACGAAACUUGCCCCGAGAUGAGUUCUCCCUGACUCCUUGAGAGUCCUGAAGGAACGUUGAAGACGACGACGUUGAUAGGCCGGGUGUGUAAGCGCAGCGAUGCGUUGAGCUAACCGGUACUAAUGAACCGUGAGGCUUAACCUUACAACGCCGAAGCUGUU
RNAcentral lists this ribosomal RNA (2930 nucleotides) under Escherichia coli. RNAcentral describes it as "23S ribosomal RNA". It matches the Rfam family "Bacterial large subunit ribosomal RNA". Lineage: Bacteria; Pseudomonadati; Pseudomonadota; Gammaproteobacteria; Enterobacterales; Enterobacteriaceae. The record is from RNAcentral.